GCACCAUUCGUCUAACGGUUAGGACCUUGAUUUUUCAUGUCAAUAAUAGUGGUUCGAUUCCACUAUGGUGCA
Molecule: transfer RNA, 72 nt
Filed under: Amoebidium parasiticum
Lineage: Eukaryota; Ichthyosporea; Ichthyophonida; Amoebidiaceae
Description: tRNA-Glu
Rfam family: tRNA
About the family: Transfer RNA (tRNA) molecules are approximately 80 nucleotides in length.
Source: RNAcentral